This 428-nucleotide ribosomal RNA is filed under the name uncultured bacterium. Its description in RNAcentral is "partial 16S ribosomal RNA". It matches the Rfam family "Bacterial small subunit ribosomal RNA", at positions 354 to 796 of the family's 1533-position model. The record is from RNAcentral.
GUGGGGAAUAUUGGGCAAUGGGCGCAAGCCUGACCCAGCAACGCCGCGUGAGGGAAGAAGGCUUUCGGGUUGUAAACCUCUGUCCUUGGUGACGAAACAAAUGACGGUAGCCAAGGAGGAAGCCCCGGCUAACUACGUGCCAGCAGCCGCGGUAAUACGUAGGGGGCUAGCGUUGUCCGGAAUUACUGGGCGUAAAGGGUGCGUAGGUGGCCUUUUAAGUUGGAUGUGAAAUACCCGGGCUUAACUUGGGGGGUGCAUCCACAACUGGGAGGCUAGAGUGCAGGAGAGGAAAGCGGAAUUCCUAGUGUAGCGGUGAAAUGCGUAGAUAUUAGGAGGAACACCAGUGGCGAAGGCGGCUUUCUGGACUGUAACUGACACUGAGGCACGAAAGCGUGGGGAGCAAACAGGAUUAGAAACCCCUGUAGUCC